GAUGAACGCUGGCGGCGUGCCUAACACAUGCAAGUCGAGCGAAAAGACGAGGAUUUUGCUCCGCUCACGUGUGCGGAGCGCGUGUGAAUAACACGUGUAUAACUUACCUAUAAUACUGGGAUAACUUCGAAAAAGCGGAUCUAAUACCGGAUAAUAUAUUGAAGCUUAGGGGUCGUUGGUGAAUGUCGGUUCUUCUGUCUCUUAUCUAGGGAUGUGAGCCGCAUUAGCUAGUUGGUGAGGUAACGGCUUACCAAGGCAAUGAUGCGUAGCCGAACUAAGAGGGGGAUCGGCCACACGGGAGCGUGGACAAGCACCAGACGACUAAGGGAGGCAGCAGUCGGGAACGUUCGGCAGUGGGCGGAAGCAUGACGGAGAAAGGCCGCGUGAGUGAUGAAGGUCUUCGGAUCGUAAAGCUCUGUUAUUAGGGAAGAACCAAUGUGUAAGUAAAUAUGCACGUCUUGACGGUACCUAAUAAAAAAGCCCCGGCUAACUACGUG
RNAcentral lists this ribosomal RNA (497 nucleotides) under uncultured bacterium. RNAcentral describes it as "partial 16S ribosomal RNA". It matches the Rfam family "Bacterial small subunit ribosomal RNA", at positions 28 to 507 of the family's 1533-position model. The record is from RNAcentral.